This 484-nucleotide ribosomal RNA is filed under the name uncultured bacterium. RNAcentral's name for it is "partial 16S ribosomal RNA". It matches the Rfam family "Bacterial small subunit ribosomal RNA", at positions 38 to 507 of the family's 1533-position model. The record is from RNAcentral.
GGGGGGGGGGGGGGGGGGGGGGGGGGGGGGGGGGGGGGGGGGGGGGGGGGGGCUUGCUCCUGGAGUCAGCGGCGGACGGGUGAGGAAGGCCUAGGAAUCUGCCUGGUGGUGGGGGAGAACGUCCGGAAACGGGCGCUCAUACCGCAUACGUCCUGAGGGAGCAAGUGGGUGAGCUUCUGACCUCACGCUAUCAGAUCAGCCUAGGUCGGAUUAGCUAAUUGGUGGGUUAACGGCCUACCAAGGCGCCGAUCCGUAACUGGUCUGAGAGGCGGAUCAGUGACACGGGAACUGGGACAAGGUCAAGACUCCUACGGGAGGCAGCAGUGGGGAAUAUUGGACAAUGGGCGAAAGCCUGAUCCAGCCAUGCCGCGUGUGUGAAGAAGGUCUUCGGAUUGUAAAGCACUUUAAGUUGGGAGGAAGGGCAGUAAGUUAAUACCUUGCUGUUUUGACGUUACCAACAGAAUAAGCACCGGCUAACUUCGUG